This 242-nucleotide ribosomal RNA is filed under the name uncultured bacterium. RNAcentral describes it as "partial 16S ribosomal RNA". It matches the Rfam family "Bacterial small subunit ribosomal RNA", at positions 118 to 355 of the family's 1533-position model. The record is from RNAcentral.
UGGGGAACAUGACCUUCGGCGGGGGAUAGCCGGCCCAACGGCCGGGUAAUACCGCGUACGACCACUUGGGGACAUCCCUAGGUGGUGAAAGCAGCAAUGCGCCGAUGGAGUGCUUCGCGGCCUAUCAGCUAGUUGGUGAGGUAACGGCUCACCAAGGCGACGACGGGUAGCUGGUCUGAGAGGGUGACCGGCCACACUGGGACUGAGAUACCGGCCCAGACUCCGUACGGGGAGGCAGAGGU